RNAcentral lists this ribosomal RNA (468 nucleotides) under uncultured bacterium. Its description in RNAcentral is "partial 16S ribosomal RNA". It matches the Rfam family "Bacterial small subunit ribosomal RNA", at positions 28 to 507 of the family's 1533-position model. The record is from RNAcentral.
GACGAACGCUGGCGGCGUGCUUAACAAAUGCAAGUCGAACGGAAAGGCCCUGCUUUUGUGGGGUGCUCGAGUGGCGACCGGGUGAGUAACACGUGAGUAACCUGCCCUUGACUUUGGGGUAACUUCAGGAAACUGGGGCUAAUACCGGAUAGGAGCUCCUGCUGCAUGGUGGGGGUUGGAACGUUUCGGCGGUUGGGGAUGGACUCGCGGCUUAUCAGCUUGUUGGUGGGGUAGUGGCUUACCAAGGCUUUGACGGGUAGCCGGCCUGAGAGGGUGACCGGCCACAUUGGGACUGAGAUACGGCACAGACUCCAACGUGAGGCAGCAGUGGGGAAUAUUGCACGAUGGGCGGAAGCCUGAUGCAGCAACGCCGCGUGCGGGAUGACGGCCUUCGGGUUGUAAACCGCUUUCGCCAGUGACGAAGCGUGAGUGACGGUAAUGGGUAAAGAAGCACCGGCUAACUACGUG